UUUUUUUUUUAUGUAUGUUACAUCAGAACUUUUGACCGGGUGGACCGAUUUCGACAAAUUUUGUUUUAAUCGAAAGGUGGUGUGUGCCAAUUGGUCCCAUUUAAAUUUAUUUGAGAUCUAACAACUACUUUUCGAGUUAUAUCUAAUAAUGCGUUUUUACUUGACGCUUUUUUCGUCGACCUACGUUGUAUUAUACCGCAUAACUUUCUAAUGGAUAUACCGAUUUGGAUAAUUUUUUUUUUUGUUAGAAAGGGGAUAUCUCUAGU
This 266-nucleotide unclassified non-coding RNA is filed under the name Melitaea cinxia (Glanville fritillary). RNAcentral's name for it is "misc RNA ENSMCXG00005020791.1". The record is from RNAcentral. Lineage: Eukaryota; Metazoa; Arthropoda; Insecta; Lepidoptera; Nymphalidae.